UCGAGAAUAGUCUACAAUGGUCGAAAGCCUGAACUAGCAACACCGCGUGAGCGAAGAAGGCCUUCGGGUUGUAAAGCACUUUUUGAGAGGAUGAGGAAGGACGGUACUCUCAGAAUAAGUCUCGGCUAACUACGUGCCAGCAGCCGCGGUAACACGUAGGAGGCAAACGUUAUCCGGAUUUACUGGGCGUAAAGCGCGUGUAGGUGGUUUGGUAAGUAGAGCGUGAAAGCUCCUGGCUCAACUGGGAGAGGUCGUUCUAAACUGCCGGACUAGAGGAUGGUAGAGGGAGGUGGAAUUCCGGGUGUAGCGGUGGAAUGCGCAGAUAUCCGGAGGAACACCAGUGGCGAAAGCGGCCUCCUGGACCACUCCUGACACUCAGACGCGAAAGCUAGGGUAGCAAACG
This 403-nucleotide ribosomal RNA is filed under the name uncultured prokaryote. Its description in RNAcentral is "bacterial SSU rRNA". It matches the Rfam family "Bacterial small subunit ribosomal RNA", at positions 355 to 774 of the family's 1533-position model. The record is from RNAcentral.